This 434-nucleotide ribosomal RNA is filed under the name uncultured bacterium. RNAcentral describes it as "partial 16S ribosomal RNA". It matches the Rfam family "Bacterial small subunit ribosomal RNA", at positions 29 to 507 of the family's 1533-position model. The record is from RNAcentral.
AGCGAACGCUGGCGGCAGGCCUAACACAUGCAAGUCGAACGAACCCUUCGGGGUUAGUGGCGGACGGGUGAGUAACACGUGGGAACGUGCCUUUAGGUUCGGAAUAACUCAGGGAAACUUGUGCUAAUACCGAAUGUGCUCUUCGGGGGAAAGAUUUAUCGCCUUUAGAGCGGCCCGCGUCUGAUUAGCUAGUUGGUUGAGGUAAUGGCUCACCAAGGCGACGAUCAGUAGCUGGUCUGAGAGGAUGAUCAGCCACAUUGGGACUGAGACACGGCCCAAACUCCUACGGGAGGCAGCAGUGGGGAAUCUUGCGCAAUGGGCGAAAGCCUGACGCAGCCAUGCCGCGUGAAUGAUGAAGGUCUUAGGAUUGUAAAAUUCUUUCACCGGGGACGAUAAUGACGGUACCCGGAGAAGAAGCCCCGGCUAACUUCGUG